GAGUGAAGACCAAUCGCACAGGAUGGUGGUUUGUGGGAUAACUUUAGAGGUGAUGAAGGAGAAGAGAGUCAGAGCUCAACAAAGGAUCAGAUGGUGGAACCUGGAGGAGGAAGACUGUUGUGUGAAAUUCAGUGAGCAGUUGAGACAGGCACUGGA
This is a long non-coding RNA of Thalassophryne amazonica, 156 nucleotides long. RefSeq lists it as uncharacterized. The record is from RefSeq and is a predicted model, not a curated record. NCBI's taxonomy places the organism in Eukaryota, Metazoa, Chordata, Actinopteri, Batrachoidiformes, Batrachoididae. The transcript is spliced from 3 exons.